This 497-nucleotide ribosomal RNA is filed under the name uncultured bacterium. RNAcentral describes it as "partial 16S ribosomal RNA". It matches the Rfam family "Bacterial small subunit ribosomal RNA", at positions 28 to 507 of the family's 1533-position model. The record is from RNAcentral.
GAUGAACGCUGGCGGCGUGCCUAAUACAUGCAAGUCGAGCGAACGGACGGGAAGCUUGCCUCUCUGAUGUUAGCGGCGGACGGGUGAGUAACACGUGGAUAACCUACCUAUAAGACUGGGAUAACUUCGGGAAACCGGAGCUAAUACCGGAUAAUAUUUUGAACCGCAUGGUUCAAAAGUGAAAGACGGUCUUGCUGUCACUUAUAGAUGGAUCCGCGCUGCAUUAGCUAGUUGGUAAGGUAACGGCUUACCAAGGCAACGAUGCAUAGCCGACCUGAGAGGGGGAUCGGCCACCAUGGAACUGAGACACGGUCCCGACUCCUACGGGAGGCAGCAGUAGGGAAUCUUCCGCAAUGGGCGAAAGCCUGACGGAGCAACGCCGCGUGAGUGAUGAAGGUCUUCGGAUCGUAAAACUCUGUUAUUAGGGAAGAACAUAUGUGUAAGUAACUGUGCACAUCUUGACGGUACCUAAUCAGAAAGCCACGGCUAACUACGUG